Molecule: long non-coding RNA, 327 nt
Filed under: Elaeis guineensis (African oil palm)
Lineage: Eukaryota; Viridiplantae; Streptophyta; Magnoliopsida; Arecales; Arecaceae
Description: long non-coding RNA (EGUI_LNC065771)
Source: RNAcentral
UUCUGAUCAAUCGACCUAUUGGUGUCUAAGAUAAGUUAAUGAGACAUGAUUAUUUAAUUGGUUUUGUGAGCCGAUCUGACCAAUUCAUUGGUAUCUAAGGAAGGCAACGGGAGGACCCCUACCGUUCUCCACUUACCUGGUCAAUUUAGAAGAUUGAAUCUUGAAUUAGGUUGCUUAGCAAUCUGGUUUAGCCCAUGCCAGUUAGAUCAGUCAUAUGAUGAUCGAUUAGAUGAGAUCUAAAUCCAAACCUUUUCAUAAAUAUUAAGUCCAUAGGUCUUCUAUCGUUGUAGAUGUGCGGGCGUGCUACUGGUGUUAAUUAUUCUCGAC